CGAGUCCCAAAUGUUUUCCGUUCGCGAGGCUGCGAUGCUUGCAAAAUAAAAUCAUUAGUUUUCUGACUCUCGAACCUUUCGUUUCGACUGGCUUCUAAAUUUUAAGUAAAAAAUUAAAAAUUAUCUUAAAACUUGACCAACUAAAAAAUUAAAUUUUAAAAAUCAAGAUGUGUGAACCUUGUUGUGGACCUUUUGAGCCCAGAGGCUGCCGCAGUCGCGAGCUACGUUGUGGCAUUAUGUAUACGACGUGUGACUGCAUCAAGCGAAAUGGCCUGCAGGACAAGUGUCCGCGGGCAGCUUGCCAAGGACGACCCGCAUGCAUGUGCUUCCCGACCCCGACAUGCUGUCCAGCCUCGUUCCCGUUGCGCUUCGCCAACAUGACAAUGGGUGUCAAUAAUAAGCGCAUGCGUUGCGCUGCAACUGCUGCAACAUGCGCUGGCGGCGGUGGCCUUGCCCGCUCCUGUGGAGGAUGCUGCACUGGCGGCGGCGGUGGAUGUAGUCCAUGUGGUCCAUGCGGCGGUGGUCCAUGUAAUGAUUGUCCAUGCUGUGGACCGCAUAGUCCGCCAUGCGGUGCGCCGGCGCCAAUUCCUUGCUCACCCGCGCCCGGCGUUUGCUGUCCGCCAUUGCCUGAGGGCGGCAUACCCGAUCCACGUGUUUGGAAUUGUUGUAACACACCUCCGACAUAUCCAUGUGGCGGUUGCCCAUGUCCGGCUCGUUACCUCAAAAGGAAACAAGAAAACUUACCCUGUGUCUGGUGUGCGCCUUGCAAAGCUCAUUGCUACAACACGCCUCCGAAAUGUUGUUGCUAGAGCUGUAGCCUUUUGAAUGGCGACAAAUCAAUCACCUUUUUAUGGUGACAAAUAGCCGGCACACUGUCACAAAACAAGUUGUUGUAAAAACAACAAACGUUAGUGUAGGAAAUCUUUAUCGACAUUUAGCAAUCCUCACUUUUGUCCGCAUCCCAAGUAAUAUUGCCACACUUAUGUAAGUGGCUUCUGAUAAAAGAAGCAAAACAAAGUUGAAAUGAUGAUAGUUCGGUGUUGUUUUUAUAACAUGAAAUAGCCAGGGGAAAUGCACACAGUUCCACAGUACGUCUCCUAGUUAAGCGUCCCGAGAUAUCGAACAACAAUUGCGGACGCAAUUGACGGAAUGUAUUUGUGAAAGUUUUGGUUGGUAAAAAUUUGGAAGCAGGUUGGAUCAAAGUUUAAAUAUCGUGGCACCAUUAAAAACACUCGGUCCGACAAGAAGAUAGAACGAACUCACAGAAAACUGAGAUUAAUCAGGCAAUUUAUGGCGCUUCGAAUUAAACACGGAUUUUAAAAGUUUACGUGAAGCCGACUGAACUAUGGAGUUUGAUGUAUUUUACUCAAAACUUAAGUCGGUAAAAUGGAAUUUAACGAAUGCGACCCUGGAAAACAUACAACAUACAAUCUCAAAGUUCUUCUUCUUACAAAUUGGCAUAAAUUCUAAAUUUCUAGUUAUACAAAUUUUAUAUGCGCAACUUUUGGACCUUUGGCAAUUAAAUUCUUUUGGAUUGAAGCAAUCAAGAA
Molecule: RNA transcript, 1550 nt
Organism: Drosophila sulfurigaster albostrigata
Lineage: Eukaryota; Metazoa; Arthropoda; Insecta; Diptera; Drosophilidae
Gene name: keratin, ultra high-sulfur matrix protein
Exons: 5
Source: RefSeq, a predicted model, not a curated record